RNAcentral lists this ribosomal RNA (352 nucleotides) under uncultured bacterium. RNAcentral describes it as "partial 16S ribosomal RNA". It matches the Rfam family "Bacterial small subunit ribosomal RNA", at positions 527 to 881 of the family's 1533-position model. The record is from RNAcentral.
GGAGGAUCCGAGCGUNAUCCGGAUNUAUNGGGUNUAAAGGGAGCGUAGAUGGAUGNNUAAGUCAGUNGUGAAAGNUUGCGGCUCAACCGUAAAAUNGCAGUNGAUACUGGAUGUCUUGAGUGCAGUUGAGGCAGGCGGAAUUCGUGGUGUAGCGGUGAAAUGCUUAGAUAUCACGAAGAACUCCGAUUGCGAAGGCAGCCUGCUAAGCUGCAACUGACAUUGAGGCUCGAAAGUGUGGGUAUCAAACAGGAUUAGAUACCCUGGUAGUCCACACGGUAAACGAUGAAUACUCGCUGUUUGCGAUAUACGGCAAGCGGCCAAGCGAAAGCGUUAAGUAUUCCACCUGGGGAGU